Molecule: long non-coding RNA, 5895 nt
Organism: Nycticebus coucang (slow loris)
Lineage: Eukaryota; Metazoa; Chordata; Mammalia; Primates; Lorisidae
Exons: 6
Source: RefSeq, a predicted model, not a curated record
AGAUCCAAGUUCUCAAAGAUUUCCAAAUAGCUGUGCUAAAAAUAAUUUUCUCAUUUAGCCCCAAAGAGCCAGGAGCCCUGAAAGUCAUUCAUCCAGUGAGGCUCGACUCAGGGACCGGUAAAAAUUGCAGUUUUGUUUGGGAUGGACUUGAAUUGCCUGGGACGCUUGACCGAUGAAAAAGCACAAGAGGUCAGCAACUUCCGCGCCUGAGGCCAUGUGGCAUUGGGACUCGUAAUCGCUUUAUUUUAGAACCUCCAUUUACUCAGUAUCCACAUAAAUCAAGGAGAGGCCAGGGCUACAGUGGAAAAGAAGAAGGGCUGAUAAUGGAGGUUUGGUGACGACUUUGGUUUGCAUGACCAGGGAAGACCACUCUGAAGAAGGGACAGGGCUUGAAGAGUCGAGCUUUUGUCUUGAGAGCAAUGAGGACCCAGGAGAGGUUUCAAACAGGACCGUGAUCUUAGGGUCCGGCUGCUCCAUGGAGAAUGCACUAGAGGAGUGUGGGGAGAUGAGGAAGCCAAGGCAUAAUGAGCCCGGUUGUCUUUGACACAUUCAUGUAACUGGGACACCCUUGAGCCAUGGCUGGACUCCAGGUCUGCUGGUGACCCUGCGUGUCAGCUCUCCGUUGUGCUACCUGGUGCCGGCACCUUCCACCAGGCUGGGGCAUCAGGGGAGCAGGCUCCUUGCUGUAUCCGCACCGAGCUAGGAGCCCAGCCCCGAAGCAGCAGCCAGCAGGUACACUUCUAGCUUCGCCUCUUCUUGGUGCCAGACUGACACUUCUGGUUCAAGUCCUGAAUGCUCCUCUUCUCCUGUUCUUGCUCAUUGAGGAGUUUGAAAGCAGAGAGCCUUGAAUUUGAGACAUCUGGGAAUGGCCAAGAUUUUGGACUCGUUUUGUGAAAAGAUGUAUUUGUUCAGUUGAGCAAGUGUGAAGCAAAUGCUUUCAGCAUGUCCGUUAAUCUCAGCGGCCCCAGUGAUGUGCCAAUCACCAAGUCUAGUGAAUCGAAGAUGAUUAAAUGACGUAUCUGCCCUGAGGAAGCAGACAGCACUCCAGGAGGAAGAGAACUAUACAAGAAGUGAACAUCUGCCAGAGGGAGAUGGAAGGCAAUGGCCAUUGCACCUGUGUGCAGAGAGUGAAAUUAAAAACCAUUUAAACGCACGUUACUAUGACAAUGUCCCAUGUACACGAAGGAUCCCGAUUGUCUCUUAUUCUGGCCCCUUCUCCUUCCCUCUGGUCACAACAUCCUCCAGAUGGUGAGGUCUAAAGCCUGAGACGACUCCCUUCCUGCGGGCUGAGUGAGGAGCGUGUGGUGUUAUGGAUGUGGCUUUGCAACCUGCCAGUUUGAGAAAGGCAAUGAACUGGACUCUCUGUGUCCUUGUCCCCAUUAAUGCAGCUGUAACUUUGCUGAUGCAUUUAUGUCUGUCUUUCUUUUUUUUUAAUUGUUGGGGAUUCAUGGAAGGUACAAAGAACUGGGUUACAUUGAUUGCAUUUGUUAGGUAAAGUCCCUCCCUGCCUCGAAAAGAUGUGUCAUACACCGUGACCCGCCCUCCUCCCCUCUCUCAGUUCUCCCCUUCCCCCACGCCCUUCCCCUAUAAGAGGGACUUUACUAACAAAUGAAUUUCUUGAAUUUUAUUAUAUUGAUGUACAAUUACCUUUCUCCCUGGCUCAUGUGUUUUAGGUAGAUAAUCUUUCUUUCUAAUUCUAACUGGAACUGAAGCAUAUCCCUCUUAGUAGGAAAUAUGGUAAAGAGCUCAACAAAUGGGUUAGAAAUCAGUUUUUAACAAGAACACAGGCUCUGAAUCAGAUCUCAAAGAGUUUUCCAAAGAGAUCAUGCAUUGAUUUGGACUCACGGCUGUUUUUUCUGGCCGUGGAGAAUCUUUCUGGAGUGCUAGCAUCCAUGUUGCAAAUGGUAGGGUUUCCUCAGAUCCAUUAUCUCCAGGUCAAAGGAGGAUGAUUUAUUUGUUACACAAAUAUGGACGUAGUGCCUACUUUGUGCCUGGCCUGCACGCAAAGGCAACAGCAGCCAGCAACGGAAGAGAUCUUCAUCUUCCCGGAGGGAUGAUAUUUAUCACACGGACAGACAAGUGAAUAUGGAAGCAGGUGACGGGGCUGGGGCUGGUGGGUGUGAGCAGAUGGCCACCUCCUGCCACUGCAGAUCCCACUGCUUGAUGUCCUGGAAGGAUGCUGUUUAUUUUGAUUAAAUUUGGUGUCAGUUUUCUUGCUGGGAGAGAGAAGAUCUGGGCUUUGGAUCAGAGCCACCUAUGUGGGUGAUUGCAGGGUCGGUGGGACCUCUGCAGAGGCCCAGGACUGACCUGAACCUGACUCCUCUCAUCUCUGGUUUGAGGACAAGGCUGCUCCCUGUCGGCGCUGUGACAAUAAAAUGACUUGAGGUAAGUGAAGUAUAUGGAACAUACCAGGGGCUCAUGAACUGAGAAGGCUCGAUACGUGUUCUUUUAGAGCCAUCUUUGUCUCCUAUUGCAGGCUCUGUUGAGUCGCUACAAUGUCAAAUCUAAUAGUUCUUCCUUCCAGCAAAAUCUCAGAAAGGCGGUUAUGCAGGUGUGCUCAUGCCUUUUCAAGUUGUCUUUGGAUUUAUUUACUUCCCGCGUGUGGUAGGCUGAAUAAUGGUCUCCCGGAGGCAUCCACGUUCUAAUCCCCAGGCCUGUGAAUAUGUUCCUUCACACGGCUUUGCCGAUCUGAUUACGUUAAGGCCCUCAAGAUGUGCAGGUAGUCCUGGAUGUCUAAACGGACUCAGUGAGAUCGUCACAGGGGUCCUUUUAAGAGGGAGGCAGAAGGUCAGAGCUAUAAAGAGCAGAUGAUGUGAGGAUGGAAGCAGAGGGGAUUGAUGAGGAAAAAUGCUACACUGGUGGCUUUGAAGAUGGAAGGAGGGACUCUGAGCCAAAACAUGGGGGCAGCCGUUAGAAGACAGAAGAGGCAGGGCCACCUGAGGAGCCACCAAGAGGAACACAGCCUGGAACUCGUCUGAGGCUUCUGACCUCUGGAACCAUAAAGUAAUAACUGUGUUGCUUUAAUCCACUAAGUGUGUGGUAAUUUAUUACAACAGCUUUACAAAAGUAAUAUACCAGGUGAAACUAGAAGGCUCUGUCUAUGCUGCAGAGAUAAAAAAGAGUAGGGCCUCUGGGCUGACCAAGAUAGUGGUAGCUGAGGGGUUGGAAGCCCAGCUGUACCACCUGCUAUGUGUGUGAUAGAUAGAAAGUGACAUUUUCUCUGUGCCACACUGUGUAUCCACUGUGCUUAUACACAUGUACCCUAAAUGUAUCCUUCAGCCCAUGUUCCCUCGACAAUUGUCUAAAGGAUACAUUUAAGAUAGAAACGAUUAAAUAGAAACGAUUAUUAACAUAAUUUAACCUAUUUAAUACUGUCUCCCUGGAAUAAUGGAAGAGGAAUGAAUUGUUGCCAGGAGAAGUGGACCAGACAGCUGUUAAAUGGUAACAAAAAAUUAUUUCUGUUCCUAUAUGUGUUCACUUUCCCCAUAGGGACUAAUGACAGUUUCUGUUCCCUGCUGUUCCCCUGUGGAUUAAGAGUUACAAUUUGGAUGACAGGCAUUGCCGCUUCUCAAAACACUGUUUAGGUUCUGGGUUGUAUUCAAAAAUUGCUGUCAGAGCCAAAUAAAGCGGCUCCCUCUGAUCUUUCUGCAAUUCUGAUCAUCUCUGGUAGAUCACAGGCUGCCUGGUUGUUGCUUUGCAAAAAGUUGUUCCCCUGAAAACCAGGGAGGAAGCAUAGUCACAUGAAAUCCUGUUGAUUUUUCUAAGUUUACCUAGUUAGGGUAAUACUGUUAUCCAAUGUAAUUUCCGAUUUCUAAAAACAGAAGACUUACUACUUCUAUGAAUCUAGCCUAAAGCAAUGAUUCUUAAUUCAAUAAAAAUAUCAGCAUGCAAAGAUGUUUAUGGAAAUAUUAUUUUAAAACAGAAAAACCUGGAAUAAACUAAAAUGCUAGACCAGUGGUUCUCAACCUUCCUAAUGCUGGGAACCUUUAAUACAGGUCCAGGGGGUUGCGAACCACAGGUUGAGAACAGCUGUGCUAGGCGAUACAGGAAUUGCUAAAUAUGUUGUGGUCUAGUCACUCUGUGGAAUAUUAUGCAGUUGGUCGAAAGUGUGGUUCUAAUAACUCUGCUGUAAUAAGGAAAAUAUUUUCAAGAUACUGCUAAGAGAAAAAAUUGUAUUUAGUAUGAUUAUAAUGCAUAUAAUGAUUAUAGCUCAUGCAUUAAUAACCUAGCAGAAAACCUACCAAAACAUUGACACCCACUUUGUUAAAGUGGCAAAAUUAGGAAUUGUUUCUUUCUUCUAUUUCCCAAAUAUUUAGUAAUAUAAUUAUUUACAUCUCUAAGGGGGAAAUAGAAGAAAACAAAGUAAUAAGCGAAAGGUUCAAAAUAGCAUGGAAGAUGUCCAAACAAUUACAAAUACACACAUUUAUAACUUUAAGUUUAAAUGCCUGCAGAGCUCUAACACCCUCCAUCAGUGCCGAUGGCAGGAAAGCCAGGGUGAGAAAUUUUGGCCAUUAGCACUUAGCAGGGUGUGUGGAAAAUGUCUUAGCACAUACACAUUCUGGCUUCAGUCAACUGAUUUGGUUUUAAGAGACAAAGGAGAGGUUUGCUUCCCCAAAUAAUUCAGUUCUGAUUAUUUCAGUGAUCUCCAUUCCAGUGCAGGGACUAAGGACGGAAAGAAUGAUUGCUUUUCAGAUCUCUAAGUGUUCUCCAGACAUCCUUCCAAAAGGAACGUAUUAAUUUGCGUUCCCACCAGCAGUGUAGAAGUGUUCCCUUGUCUCCACAUCCACGCCAACAUCUCUGGGCUUGGGAUUCUGUGGGCUAAUCUUACUGGAGUUAGAUGAUCUCUCAAAGUAGUUUUGAUUUGCAUUUCUCUGCUGAUUGAGGAUGAUGAGCAUUUUUUCUGUAGGCCAUGCGCCUGUCUUCUUCAGAGAAGUUUCUCUUCAGGUCCCUGGCCUGGCCUGCGAUGAGAUCCCUUGUUCUGUAGGUAUAUGUAGAUUCAGACCAUCUGAAUGGCACUAGUGUGUUUUUAGUAUUGCUUUUUAAAAUAUUAUUCACACAAUUUCCAAUCUAAACAUCAUGCGAAGGUACAAGACAAAUAAAUACUCAUGUCUGGGAGGAAGGCUGUUUACGAACUUGAAAUGCAUACAAUAAAACUAUAUCAAAAAAAAAAAAAGAAAGAAUGAUUGCAUCUAGGAUGCAGGAAAGGCCCCCCAUGUGCUCCUCCAGGUAGGUCCUCUCUGUUAGACAGACGGGCAGGUGAGCAGAAUGAGGCCAGGAUCUCACAUGGGGUAGGGGGCGAGGUAGGGGAGGCCCCGCGUGGUGGGAUGCCAGCUGCCUGGGCUGCUGAGAUCUCCAGGUGAUUCUGCAACACAGUCUAUUUCUAGGAGACCCAACAGCAUCUCACUAGAUUUGUAAUUCCCCACAGGGGUACGCACGAGUGCAAUGGUUUUCCGAAAUUCCACACAAUAAAAAGCAUGUUUGAGAAACAAAUUUUCCCUCCACUUACAUCCCGCAUUCUCAGUUUGUGUUUCCUGAGAAAGCUGCUGUAAACGAGGAACACUAAAUAAAUACAGAUCAAUGCAGGGAAGUGUCCCCACUGCAAUCACUUAUAAUCUCCCCGGCCUGUGGGGGAAUUUAGAUUUUUAAACAAACUUCCUUGGAACGUGCAUCUUGGAUGCAGGGCCUGGGCCUGGGUCUGGGGGCUGCUGCUCCAGCAAUACCCAGUUGAAUGAAAACACAGCAAACGUAUCCCCUUUAUGUCAGCAAUAUUCGUCGUAUGAAGCUUUCCGGAAUAUAGAUGUUCAAUAGACUGAGUUAAACUUUUAUUGGUUUUGCAAGAUCUAACAGUUUUAGAGAGUGAUACAUUUUGGUUGGAGAUGUUUCUGAGCAGAAAUG